CUACACAUGCAGUCGACGGUAACAGGUCUUCGGAUGCUGACGAGUGGCGAACGGGUGAGUAAUACAUCGGAACGUGCCCGAUCGUGGGGGAUAACGGAGCGAAAGCUUUGCUAAUACCGCAUACGAUCUACGGAUGAAAGCAGGGGACCGCAAGGCCUUGCGCGGACGGAGCGGCCGAUGGCAGAUUAGGUAGUUGGUGGGAUAAAAGCUUACCAAGCCGACGAUCUGUAGCUGGUCUGAGAGGACGACCAGCCACACUGGGACUGAGACACGGCCCAGACUCCUACGGGAGGCAGCAGUGGGGAAUUUUGGACAAUGGGCGAAAGCCUGAUCCAGCCAUGCCGCGUGCAGGAUGAAGGCCUUCGGGUUGUAAACUGCUUUUGUACGGAACGAAAAGACUCUUUCUAAUAAAGAGGGUCCAUGACGGUACCGUAAGAAUAAGCACCGGCUAACUACGUGCCAGCAGCCGCGGUAAUACGUAGGGUGCGAGCGUUAAUCGGAAUUACUGGGCGUAAAGCGUGCGCAGGCGGUUAUGCAAGACAGAUGUGAAAUCCCCGGGCUCAACC
This 566-nucleotide ribosomal RNA is filed under the name bacterium amp-w-33. RNAcentral describes it as "bacterial SSU rRNA". It matches the Rfam family "Bacterial small subunit ribosomal RNA", at positions 49 to 614 of the family's 1533-position model. The record is from RNAcentral.